Long non-coding RNA from Panicum virgatum (switchgrass), 1889 nucleotides. RefSeq lists it as uncharacterized. The transcript is spliced from 3 exons. The record is from RefSeq and is a predicted model, not a curated record. NCBI's taxonomy places the organism in Eukaryota, Viridiplantae, Streptophyta, Magnoliopsida, Poales, Poaceae.
CAGGAGAGGCGGCGCGACUCGAGGGCUCCAGGGCUCCUGGCGGCGCGGCGCGACUCGAGGAGAGGCGUGGUCCUGGCGGCGCGCGAGGCGACGGCGGGCGAAGGCGAGGGCUCGGCGGCGCACCGGCGGCGAGCUUCUCCUCGUCCGCCUUCUCGCCGGUAACGCGUCGCCCUCGUCUUCUUUGCCUUCUUUUCUCCCUCGGGCGCUAGGGUUCUUGGCUUCUUCUUCUUGGUUGUGAGGUGAUAGGAGAUGUAUAGGAGGGGAGCAGGACGAGCAGGGAGGCAGAUCUGGAGAGAUGGGCUCCGACAAGGCAGAUCUGGAUGAGGCUGUGAUGGCCAUGGGUGGCCAUGGGGAGAGCUCCUUCCCGCCUUGGCUCACAAAUCGGGCACUCCUGAGAUGCUGGCGCUUGGUAAGUCGAUCAGCAGGAGCUACAGGUAGAGCUCUGCUUUUCUUCUCUUUUGUUUCGUAUGUAUAAUGAUGAUUGUUGAAUUACCUUUUUCCUAUUAUAUUCGCUACCUUUUAGAGGUGAAAAGUGGAUCUUAGAUAUUACCUUCUUGUAUAAAGUAGUUGAAGUUAAAUCUCAGUCUAUAUAUUUGUUGUUGUUUAUCCUUGCUUUGCAUAUUGCUUUAAUCUCCUAUAUAUAUCGCCUAUAUCUAUAGCCUUUUCUUCAUUAACAAGUCUGGUGGCUCUUACUGUCCUGUGAGUAAAAUGUGUAAUACAACACUUCAGUCCAUCAUUACUGGUUUCUCAGAGACCUGAGUGAGAAUGAACUGGUAUGGCCGAUUCCUACUAUACUUGGCAACCUAUCAUACUCUGGCAAACUGUUAGUAUCAUCAACUAUACUUUUCUUUCCCAAACCAUCUACCUUUUCUUUUAUUAAUGGUUUGUACAACCAUUCCUUUUCAGUUAUUUACAUGGCAACAAACUUACUGGACACAUACCACCAGAACUGGGGAACAUGAGUAAACUUAGCUACUUGCAGCUGAAUGAUAAUGAACUAGAAUGAACCAUUCCAGCAGAGCUUGGCAAGCUCACAAAAUUAUUUGAAUUAAAUCUUGCCAACAACAAGCUUGAGGGUCAUAUUCCUGCAAACAUCAGUUCUUGCAGUGCACUGAACAAAUUGUAAGUUUGUAGGCAUGCAUUUAUCACAAGUUUCAAUAGAACAAUUAUGUGUUUCUCAUGCCUAAUCAUUUUAUUCUGUUCUUAGCAAUGUGUAUGGCAAUAGACUGAAUGGCUCCAUCCCUGGUCAGUUAGCAUGUUUGUAGUUUCAUAGUUUCAGUUUGGCCAAAUAUGGAACAACUCCUGUCAGCAAUUCACUUCAUUGUAAGUUGUAACAACCAUUGUUACCAAGCUGAUAUCAUGGAUUAGGCAACGUUACUUGUAUAAAACAUUGUAUGCUUCAAAUUUAGUUUUCAACCAAGCAUGCCACAACUUGAGUUUUUUUUAUUACUUCUGCGUCAUUUGUUUUCUGUCUACCACUAUUUCCUUUAUAUGCUGCCCUGCAUCCUGCUCUUAAAGAAAGACUUUGCAUUUCUUUACCAAGUCACCGAGCCAUUCAACUUUUUGAUGAUGUUUUAAGAAAAGAGAAAUCUGACAGCUUCUUCUCGUGAUCACUAUGCAGCCUUAUUUUAGAUAAUCAGGACGAUGACCAGUGGCGGGUUGGCUUGAACUCAGCUAUGUUCAGAAGGGUGUCCAUCCAUGUGUUCGGGAGCUGGGAUGCAGUAUCUGUGUUCUGCAGCAAACUUGUUCCGGGAUAAUGUCAUGUAGUGUGUGAAUCUUGUUUUUGCUUUCUGUUGACUGGAGAAUCGAAGAGUUUAAAUGCCUUUUUUUAAAAUGGAAUCAAGCACAGCUGAAAGGUUAAAGAGACUAGUAUAUGAUAAUUUGUUUCC